RNAcentral lists this ribosomal RNA (465 nucleotides) under uncultured bacterium. Its description in RNAcentral is "partial 16S ribosomal RNA". It matches the Rfam family "Bacterial small subunit ribosomal RNA", at positions 28 to 507 of the family's 1533-position model. The record is from RNAcentral.
GACGAACGCUGGCGGCGUGCUUAACACAUGCAAGUCGAACGGAAAGGCCCCUUUGGGGGUACUCGAGUGGCGAACGGGUGAGUAACACGUGAGUAACCUGCCCUUGACUUCGGGAUAACUUCAGGAAACUGGGGCUAAUACCGGAUAGGAAUCCUUGCUGCAUGGUGGGGGUUGGAAAGCUUCGGGGGUUUUGGAUGGACUCGCGGCUUAUCAGCUUGUUGGUGGGGUAGUGGCUUACCAAGGCUUUGAUGGGUAGCCGGCCUGAGAGGGCGACCGGCCACAUUGGGACUGAGAUACGGCCCAGACUCCUACGGGAGGCAGCAGGGGGGAAUAUUGCACAAUGGGCGGAAGCCUGAUGCAGCAACGCCGCGGGCGGGAAGACGGCCUUCGGGUUGUAAACCGCUUUCAGCAGGGGCGAAGCUUGUGGUGACGGUACCUGCAGAAGAAGCACCGGCUAACUACGUG